RNAcentral lists this non-coding RNA (53 nucleotides) under Kaustia mangrovi. RNAcentral's name for it is "sul1 RNA". It matches the Rfam family "sul1 RNA". Lineage: Bacteria; Pseudomonadati; Pseudomonadota; Alphaproteobacteria; Hyphomicrobiales; Parvibaculaceae. The record is from RNAcentral.
CGGACCCGGCGAGAGACCGGGUGGCUCUUCCGGCCGCCGACCCGCCGAACAAC